ACUAAUUCAAGUUAUUAAUGCUGUAGUCAGCAAAUUACAAGAACGUGUUCAACAAGUGGAACUUCUAAAUCCUAGUGGUGCUUCAGAUGAAGAUAUUGUGAGUAUAUAAUUGUAAACCGUGCUUUCAAAAAUCAAGUUUAACUAAACACUACAUUGUCUUUUUUCUUAGAUGUAUUGAGCCAAAAUGUUGUUAUGUGAAGACCCAAUCUUCAAGAAAGGAUUGAAAUUUGACCAGUGUGGCUUGCGCUUAAAGAUAUCAGAAAAUAUAGUGAUGACAAUGACACAGCUAUAGCAACGUAUCACAAGCAAAAUGGUGUCAACAUUCCAUCAACACAUCCAAAUUCAUUGAUGUUUGAAGACCACACGUCAACACAAUCAACAUCUCUUGAAUUAUCUUCGUUUUCUCUACUUAUAAAUGAAGAUAAUGUUGAUGAGACGUCUUCUCAACACCCAUAGGGGCGAAAAAAGCAAAACUGAAAGGGAAAAAUGACAAAGAAAAUAAAAAAUGUAUUGAAUCCACUAAGCAAGAAAAUUGGCUACUCGUCGAAGUUUAAAAAAAAAAGCAGUUAGGAAAGACAAGAGGCGUGCGAAAUCCAAAAAAGAAAACUGGCAAUGACAGAAUAUCAAGAGGAGAACAAAAUAUUAAUGAAAGAUUUGAAUGUGAUAAUAGAUCCGAAUCUACGUGAGUUAUUCCAAAAUGAACAAGCAAGAAUCUUGCAAAAGAGAACUCAAGGAGGUAAAGGAUAUGAAAGUUCAUCUGGUUUGUUUGGUAAUUAUUUUGAUGACAUUGGAGGAAUAGGAAGUGAUCUACCAGAUUACUAAGCUAUUCACUUGAUUUAUGUAUCGUUCAAUAAUGUUUGUAUGUGGC
This 868-nucleotide long non-coding RNA is filed under the name Olea europaea subsp. europaea. The record is from RNAcentral. Lineage: Eukaryota; Viridiplantae; Streptophyta; Magnoliopsida; Lamiales; Oleaceae.